UUCCGGUUGAUCCUGCCGGACCUUACUGCUAUCGGGACGAGACUAAAACAUGCUAGUUGUGCGCACCCUAGCCACGUUGGGAGCGCAGCAAACGGCUCCGUAACACGUAGUCAAUCUAACCUUAGGACGAGGAUAACCCCCGGGAAACUGGGGCUAAUACUCGAUAGGCGAUAAAAGCCUGGAAUGGCAUUUCACCUAAAGGGUUUUAGUAACACGCUACUAAAACUGCCUAAGGAUGAGACUGCGGCCGAUCAGGUUGUUGGUGGGGUAACGGCCUACCAAGCCUAUGACCGGUACGGGCCCUGAGAGGGGGAGCCCGGAGAUGGGAACUGAGACAAGGUCCCAGACCCCACGGGGUGCAGCAGUUGCGAAACCUCUACAAUGCACGAAAGUGUGAUAGGGUUAUCCCGAGUGCCGUCCGAUGAGGAUGGCUUUUCCUCGGUGUAAGAACCCGGGGGAAUAAAGGGGGGGCAAGACUGGUGUCAGCCGCCGCGGUAAUACCAGCCCCCUAAGUGGUAAGGAUGAUCAUUUGGCCUAAAGCGUCCGUAGCCGGCUUAGUGAGUCUUUCGUUAAAUUCGGCGACUUAAUCGUCGGUCUGCGAGAGAUACUGCUAGGCUUGAGGACGGGAGAGGUUGACGGUAUUCCGGGGGUAGGGGCAAAAUCCUAUAAUCCUCUGAGGACCACCAGUGGCGAAAGGCGGUCGACUAGAACGUGCCUGACGGUGAUGGACGAAAGCUGGGGGAGCAAACCGGAUUAGACACCCGGGUAGUCCCAGCCGUAAACGAUGUGGCUAGUGUUGGGGCAGCCACGAGCUGCUCCGGUGCCGCAGAGAGUCAUUAAGCCCACCGCCUGGGAGUACGGUCGCAGACUGAACUUAAAGGAAUUGGCGGGGGGAGCACACAGGGGUGAGCUGCGUCAUGACUCACGCGG
Molecule: ribosomal RNA, 930 nt
Filed under: uncultured archaeon
Lineage: Archaea
Description: bacterial SSU rRNA
Rfam family: Archaeal small subunit ribosomal RNA
Source: RNAcentral